This 253-nucleotide ribosomal RNA is filed under the name uncultured bacterium. RNAcentral's name for it is "partial 16S ribosomal RNA". It matches the Rfam family "Bacterial small subunit ribosomal RNA", at positions 524 to 776 of the family's 1533-position model. The record is from RNAcentral.
UACGGGGGGGGCAAGCGUUGUUCGGAAUUACUGGGCGUAAAGGGCUCGUAGGUGGCCAACUAAGUCAGACGUGAAAUCCCUCGGCUUAACCGGGGAACUGCGUCUGAUACUGGAUGGCUUGAGUUUGGGAGAGGGAUGCGGAAUUCCAGGUGUAGCGGUGAAAUGCGUAGAUAUCUGGAGGAACACCGGUGGCGAAAGCGGCGCGCUGGACCACUACUGACGCUGAGGAACGAAAGCUAGGGGAGCAAACAGG